UACGUAGGGGGCAAGCGUUGUCCGGAAUCAUUGGGCGUAAAGCGCGUGUAGGCGGCCCGGUAAGUCCGCUGUGAAAGUCGGGGGCUCAACCCUCGGAUGCCGGUGGAUACUGUCGGGCUAGAGUGCGGGAGAGGCGAGUGGAAUUCCUGGUGUAGCGGUGAAAUGCGCAGAUAUCAGGAGGAACACCAAAGGCGAAGGCAGUGUCCUGGGGAGUACCUGACGCUCAGGUGCGAAAGCCAGGGGAGCGAACGGG
RNAcentral lists this ribosomal RNA (253 nucleotides) under uncultured bacterium. RNAcentral describes it as "partial 16S ribosomal RNA". It matches the Rfam family "Bacterial small subunit ribosomal RNA", at positions 524 to 776 of the family's 1533-position model. The record is from RNAcentral.